UCGAAUGCGCGGAUGGCCGCUCCUGUCCACCUGGGCAGGGGAGGAAAGUCCGAGCACCUCUGGACCGCGGUGGUGGGUAACGCCCACCGUCCCGGCUGGCGACGGCCGGGAUCGGGACAGUGCCACAGAAAAUAUACCGCCCCUCGACAAGCUCGGGACGGGCCCCUCGAAGCAUAGGCAAAGGGCCUGCCCGUGGAAGCGAAGGUAGCGGGCACGCCCUGACAUUGUUGAAGGGCCUGCCCCGAGCCUGUCGAGGGGUAAGGGUGAAAAGGUGCGGUAAGAGCGCACCGCGGCUGGCGUGAGUCGGCCGGCACGGCAAACCCCACCGGGUGCAAGGCCAAGCAGCGACACAUGAGCAGGUCCAGGCUCGUCGCGGGUAGGCCGCUUCCCGAGCGAUCGGGAGAGCCCGUCUGCAAAGGCGGGUCCAGAUAAAUGGCCUUCGCUGUCGGAUCGGCCCGGCCCGGCCGGCCCGACAGAACAGAACUCGGCUUAUAGCGCAUUCGAAUGG
Molecule: RNase P RNA, 508 nt
Filed under: Phycisphaerae bacterium
Lineage: Bacteria; Pseudomonadati; Planctomycetota; Phycisphaerae
Description: RNase P RNA component class A
Rfam family: Bacterial RNase P class A
About the family: Ribonuclease P (RNase P) is a ubiquitous endoribonuclease, found in archaea, bacteria and eukarya as well as chloroplasts and mitochondria. Its best characterised activity is the generation of mature 5'-ends of tRNAs by cleaving the 5'-leader elements of precursor-tRNAs. Cellular RNase Ps are ribonucleoproteins.
Source: RNAcentral